Molecule: ribosomal RNA, 474 nt
Filed under: uncultured bacterium
Lineage: Bacteria
Description: bacterial SSU rRNA
Rfam family: Bacterial small subunit ribosomal RNA
Source: RNAcentral
CUCUCUGUGACUCCUACGGGAGGCAUCAGUGGGGAAUAUUGCACAAUGGGGGAAACCCUGAUGCAGCCAUGCCGCGUGUGUGAAGAAGGCCUUCGGGUUGUAAAGCACUUUCAGUAGGGAGGAAGGUAGUGUAGUUAACACCUGCAUUAUUUGACGUUACCUACAGAAGAAGCACCGGCUAACUCCGUGCCAGCAGCCGCGGUAAUACGGAGGGUGCGAGCGUUAAUCGGAAUUACUGGGCGUAAAGCGCAUGCAGGCGGCCUGUUAAGUCAGAUGUGAAAGCCCCGGGCUUAACCUCGGAAUUGCAUUUGAAACUGGCAGGCUAGAGUCUUGUAGAGGGGGUAGAAUUUCAGGUGUAGCGGUGAAAUGCGUAGAGAUCUGAAGGAAUACCAGUGGCGAAGGCGGCCCCCUGGACAAAGACUGACGCUCAGAUGCGAAAGCGUGGGGAGCAAACAGGAUUAGAUACCCUGGGAG